This is a long non-coding RNA of Acanthochromis polyacanthus (spiny chromis), 1384 nucleotides long. RefSeq lists it as uncharacterized. Lineage: Eukaryota; Metazoa; Chordata; Actinopteri; Pomacentridae. The transcript is spliced from 4 exons. The record is from RefSeq and is a predicted model, not a curated record.
UUGAUCUUCUGAUGCUGAAGCUCUGCUGCAGGUCUCUGGUUGGUCUCCUCAGGUUGAUCUUCUGCUGGUGAAGCUCUGCUGCAGGUCUCUGGUUGGUCUCCUCAGGUUGAUCUUCUGCUGGUGAAGCUCUGCUGCAGUUCUCUGGUUGGUCUCCUCAGGUUGAUCUUCUGCUGGUGAAGCUCUGCUGCAGUUCUCUGGUUGGUCUCCUCAGGUUGAUCUUCUGCUGGUGAAGCUCUGCUGCAGGUCUCUGGUUGGUCUCCUCAGGUUGAUCUUCUGCUGGUGAAGCUCUGCUGCAGGUCUCUGGUUGGUCUCCUCAGGUUGAUCUUCUGCUGGUGAAGCUCUGCUGCAGGUCUCUGGUUGGUCUCCUCAGGUUGAUCUUCUGCUGGUGAAGCUCUGCUGCAGGUCUCUGGUUGGUCUCCUCAGGUUGAUCUUCUGCUGGUGAAGCUCUGCUGCAGGUCUCUGGUUGGUCUCCUCAGGUUGAUCUUCUGCUGGUGAAGCUCUGCUGCAGGUCUCUGGUUGGUCUCCUCAGGUUGAUCUUCUGCUGGUGAAGCUCUGCUGCAGGUCUCUGGUUGGUCUCCUCAGGUUGAUCUUCUGCUGGUGAAGCUCUGCUGCAGGUCUCUGGUUGGUCUCCUCAGGUUGAUCUUCUGCUGGUGAAGCUCUGCUGCAGGUCUCUGGUUGGUCUCCUCAGGUUGAUCUUCUGCUGGUGAAGCUCUGCUGCAGUUCUCUGGUUGGUCUCCUCAGGUUGAUCUUCUGAUGCUGAAGCUCUGCUGCAGGUCUCUGGUUGGUCUCCUCAGGUUGAUCUUCUGCUGGUGAAGCUCUGCUGCAGGUCUCUGGUUGGUCUCCUCAGGUUGAUCUUCUGCUGGUGAAGCUCUGCUGCAGGUCUCUGGUUGGUCUCCUCAGGUUGAUCUUCUGCUGGUGAAGCUCUGCUGCAGGUCUCUGGUUGGUCUCCUCAGGUUGAUCUUCUGCUGGUGAAGCUCUGCUGCAGGUCUCUGGUUGGUCUCCUCAGGUUGAUCUUCUGCUGGUGAAGCUCUGCUGCAGUUCUCUGGUUGGUCUCCUCAGGUUGAUCUUCUGCUGCUGAAGCUCUGCUGCAGGUCUCUGGUUGGUCUCCUCAGGUUGAUCUUCUGCUGCUGAAGCUCUGCUGCAGGUCUCUGGUUGUGGCUCAUUUUAUUUCCUCCCACUUCACCAGAACCGGUGCAGACUCUCAGUUUGAAUGUCUGUCAAAGUGUUUAUCAGACGUUUGGUGACUAAUUCUGCAUCUAACCGCCCGCAUGCUGCAGCUGUAAAGGUCUCGUGUGUUUCUGUUCUUCUGCUUCGUCGGUCCAGUUGUUGGGUUCAGGCUGUUCUGGUGAAAUUGGAGCUAACGAACGGCGACCUGAGCAACACA